This is a non-coding RNA of Pelodiscus sinensis (Chinese soft-shelled turtle), 4032 nucleotides long. Lineage: Eukaryota; Metazoa; Chordata; Testudines; Trionychidae. The record is from RefSeq and is a predicted model, not a curated record.
CAGGAGGUCAUUGUCUGGGGAAAUAUGCACAUCUUCUGUACAAAGAUGGCUUGCCAGGAGAGUGAUCCACCCCCAACUAGAGAUGCUCCAUUCUCAGCUGUGCUGUUAUACUGCACUGGGCUCACAUGUCUGGUCACCGCUUUCUCCUUCUCUUGUCCUGUACUUGGUUGUGGUUUUUCUGAGGAGGAUGUGAGCAUCCUAGUUAAUGAGGAGACCCUGUGGUAGCGGAAAAGGGGGAGGAUUGCCAGUAUGUAGAAGCAUUAGUUAUUUUCUGCAUGGGUGAAAAUAUUUUUUUGUUUGGGAGGGCAGUCUGUGGGAGCGUAGUGCAUAGCAGCUAUUGCUUUUCUCAAGGAAGUAGCAGGUAGGCGAGGUCAUAUUUAAGGUUGGGAGCUUUGCGAGCAGUGUUUAUAAAUGGGAUACCCAGUCAAGUUUUUGUUUGCAUUGGCAGACACACACACGUCCAGUAUGACGUCCGCCCCUUCCUCCGAGGGACGACUUCUGCAUUCAUCUGUCACAACGUCGUCCUCCAUCGCUGAACGAGGGUCGUCGACGUAACGGAGCGAUGGCCUGUAGACAAAAGAAAAGAAGACCUUGAGAGCAGGCGGGGUUGUCAAAGUUAAGUGUUUUCCCAAGAGCAACGGUACAGAUGCUUCUGACUGUCCCGAAGUUCAUUGUUUUAAGAACAGGAAUCCUGUCACACCUGCCCAUUUUCAAAAGGGUGUGGGGGAGAGGUCAUUAUACGGAGGAUGUGUUUAUUUCUCCUGAGAGAGGUUGAUCGCCAGAAGAGCGAGCCACACAACUAGAGAUGCUCCAUUCUCUGCUGUCACGUUUUACACUGCAGUGGAUUUGCAUGACUGGUCACUGCUAGGUCUGUCUCUAGGUCUGUCUCUGGUUCUAUACACGGUUGUAGUUUUCUGUGGAGAUUGUGAGCAUCGUAGUUAACGUGGGAAGGGCCACCCACGAAGUCAGUUGCAUCUUUGUCGUAGGUAUGAAUGAGUCGAGGCUCUUUGGGCCAUUGGAUCGGUUAUUUUAGCAAAGGGAGAGCAAUAACAUGGACUCUCCCAUUUAUGUGUCAUGGGAGGAUCAGAGAGCAGAGCUGAGGGAGCGAGCCACAGCGAAUCAAUCACAUUGGGUCCAUGUGGUUCCGGCAACGGCGAUUUGGGCGGAAGCAGAGCAACUGGCAGCGAUGUUGGCGUACAUUGCCGACCAAGGGAUGGUGACAUACGGGAGCAAAAGCCUGCAGAUGAAGGAAAAGAAGACCUUGAGAGUCGGAGGGGAUGUCAAAGUUAAGUUUGUCUGUAAGAGUCAGUCUGUGUGAAGUCUUUAUAAGAUUGAGACUUCUUUUUUACAAGCAGGAGUCUGCUAAAGGGAGGCUAUUGAGAAAGCGGGCAGGAGGUCAUUGUCUGGGGAAAUAUGCACAUCUUCUGUACAAAGAUGGCUUGCCAGGAGAGUGAUCCACCCCCAACUAGAGAUGCUCCAUUCUCAGCUGUGUCGUUACACUGAACUGGGCUCGCACGUCCUGUCACCACGAUCUCCUUCUUGUGUCCUGUACUUGGUUGUGGUUUUCUGAGGAGGAUGUGAGCAUCCUAGGUAAUGACGAGCCCCUGUGGUAACGGGGAAAGGGGGAGGAUUGCCAGUGUAUAGAAUCAUAGCUAUUAUUUUGCAUGGGUGAAAAUGUUUUUGUUUGGAUGGGGUGGAGGGUGACCUCAGGGGAGCAUAGUGUGUAGCAGCUGUUUCUCAAGGAAGUAGCAGGUAGGUGAGGUCAUAUUAAGGUCGGGAGCUUUGCGAGCAGUGUUUAUAAAUGGGAUACCCAGUCAAGUUUUUGUUUGCAUUUGCAGAUGCGCACACGUCCGGUACAACGUCCACUCCUUCCUCCGAGGGACUGCUUCUGCAUUCAUCUGUCACAACGUCGUCCUACAUCGCUGAACGAGGGUCGUCGAUGUAACAGAGCGAUGGCCUGUAGACAAAGGAAAAGAAGACCAUGAGUGCAGGCAGGGUUGUCAAAGUUAAGUAUUUUCCCAAGAGCAGGAUGGUCAGAAGCAUUUGUGCCAGUGAGGUUCAUUGUUUAGGAACAAAAGUUCUGUUACAUGUGCCUAUUAAGAGGGCGGGGGGGGGGUCAUUAUAUGGAGGAUGUGUGCAUGACUCCCAAGAGUGAUGCGCACGUCACUAGAGAUGCUCAUUUGUCAGCUGUCACCUUUUACACUGCACUGGGUUUGCAUGACCGGUCACCACUAUCUCUGUCUUUGGUUCUAUAUGCAGAUGUGAGCAUCCUAGUUAGCAAGAGGCCCCAGUGGGGUGGGAAAUGUGGAGGCUAAGUGCAGGAAGUGAGUUGCAUCUCUGCCAUAGAAAUGUGGCAUUUGUUGACGUGCCAGAGGAGGAUUUGAGGGAGCGAGGCACAGCAAGUCCAUCCCAUUUGGUCCACACGGUUUGCGGCAACGGCGGUGCAAGCGUAACCGGUGGUGUCCAUCAGGUUCUGGAUGCAGAACUAAUCUAAUUUGGAAGAGCAGCAACAAAGUUGACGAGCUGGGGACUUUUUUUUUCCCCUCACAGAAGUGGAUUCGAUUUCACAUUUGCAAGUUAAGUAUGGCCAUAGAUGAGGGCGUUGGUUUUUGCUUGCCCUGCAUUGCACUUGGGGAAACGCGGUUCACUGGGUGCAUGUCACUGGGGAAAUUCACAUAUACAACAUAGCACAUGGGCGUUUCGGAAGCAGAGGUUUGGAUUUGUGCAGGCCUUAACUGAGCAUUUUUUUUUAUUUCCAUAGGAAGCGUGCCAUAUCAGCACAAGCUGAAGAUUUCUUCAUGAGCGGAGAAGAGUUCUGCGUGACUUAGCCGGUUUUGAAGAUGUAGAGUUUACAUAGGGUUCAAUUUAACACGUGCAAGUUAAGUAUGGUCCUUGAUCAGAGGCUGGAUUUUUUGUUGUGCAUGCUCUGUUUCACUUGAGCAAUGUGGUUCACUGGGUGCAUGUCACAGGGGAAAUACUGCUGUGCUGUCCUGUAGUGUGUGUUGGAAGCUGAGGUAGUUUGCAUUUGUUGCGUGGGCCUUAACCAUGAGCAUUCUUUUUUUUUUAUUAUUUCCAUAGGGAGUGUUCCAUGUCAGAGUGCUCUGAAGAUUUCUCUGUGACCAGAGAAGAGUUUGGCUCGUCUCUGCCAGUUUGGAAGAUGUAAAAUUUGCAUAGGAUUUGCUUUCAGAUUCUCUAGUUAAGUAUGGUCCUCUAUCAGGGGUUUUGUUUUGGGCUUUUUGUAUUUCACUUGAAAGGUUUCACCAGGUGCAUGUCACUGGGGCAGUUUACCUGUGCUACUAUGUAUAUGGCCCUUUUGGAAGCUGGGGCAGUUUGUGGUCUUGUUGUACAGGCCUUAACUGUGAAUCGUUUUUCAUUUCCAUAGGAAGUGUUCUCAAUCACUACCAUAUGAAGAUUUCUACAUGGCCGGAGAAGAAUGUGGCAUGUCCUUGCCAGUUUGGAAGGUGUAGAGUUUGCAUAGGAUUGGCUUUCAGAUUUGCAAGUUAAGUACAGUUUCAAUCAGGGGUUUUGUUUUUGCAUUUUGCUUUGGAAACGUAUUUCACUGGGUGCAUGUCACGGGAAAUUCACCUGCACUACAUUGUAUAAGCAUGUUUUGGAAGCUGAGGCAGUUUGAGUUUGUUGUAUGGGCUUUAACUGAGACAAAGUAGUUCUUUCUCUAGGAAGUCUUCCGCAGUGGUGCGAUCUGAAGAUUUCUAUGUGUCCAGAGAAGAAUUUGGCAUGCCUUUGUUUGUUUGGAAGAUGUAGAGUUUGUAUUUCACGCUUUGAUUUGCAGUGUCCUCUUGUCUUGAUGGCUAGUACCAAAGUUCUGAGGUGGUAUUGUUAAUACUUUCACAGUCCCAAUCAGUAGAUACAUCAAGUCAGCGCUGGCACACAUUUGGACCAGGUGCACCAGUACAUCUCAGUCCUGCAAGGGAUGCAGGAGACAUUUUAACCCGAGGAUGCAGGCAGGGGGGCACAGUUGCUUGCUGGAUGAGUUUGUGCAGCAGCGCACUGCUAUUUGCACUGCUACCCGGG